Molecule: small nuclear RNA, 107 nt
Filed under: Moschus moschiferus (Siberian musk deer)
Lineage: Eukaryota; Metazoa; Chordata; Mammalia; Artiodactyla; Moschidae
Source: RNAcentral
GUGCUCUCUUUGGUGGCACCCAUACUAAAAUUGGAAUGAUAUAGAGAAGACUAGCAUGGCCCCUGCAUAAUGAUGACUUGCAAAUUUGUGAAGCGUUCUGUAUUUUG